UUCCCGAAUGAGGAAACUCUAUAUACUACUUGCUGAAUUUAUAGGCAAGAAAGAGCAAACCUGGCGAAUUGAAACAUCUUAGUAGCCAGAGGAAAAGAAAGCAAAAGCGAUUCCCUUAGUAGCGGCGAGCGAAGUGGGAACAGCCUAAACCAACUAGAUACGUCUAGUUGGGGUUGUGGGACAGCAAUAACUAAGAUUAACAAGAGUUAAAAGAAUUAGUUGGAAUACUAAGCCAUAGAUGGUGAAAGCCCAGUAUUUGAAAAGUUAUCAAAGGAAAUCUUGAUAGAAAAAUAAAGACGUCGCGCGACGAAACAUCAUAGGAAGGCACUUGCUUAUGAACUAUGAGUCUUUUUAAGAAAACUCGCAUUUAAUAUGCUUAAUAACAUUUAUGUGAAUUGAAUCAUCUUAGUAACAUAAUAAAAAAUCAAACGAGAACUUGUAAGUAACGGUGAGUGAACACAAGCUUAGCAAAAUGUUGAAAUCCAGAGAAGGUGUCUCAAGUCCUUUACAGCAUUAAUAAGAAUACAAAGUAGUAUGAUUAACUUUUGUACGAAAAUAGGAGUACCAUCUUCUAAGCUAAAAAAUUUUUCUAAUCGAUAGUGAACGAGUACCGUGAGGGAAAGAUUUAAAUUUGUUAAUUUAUAUUUAUUUGAAGUUGAUGAAUGCAACUACAAAGUGCCUUUUGCAUAAUGAGUCAGUAAGUUAAUAUAUGUAGCAAGCUUGAAAAUAUUUAGGCAUUCUAAGUUACAUGCAUUAGACCCGAAGCCAAGUGAUCUAUUCUUAAACAAGUUGAAGAUGUUUUAAAAUGCAUUGGAGGGCUGAACCCACGUCUGUUGAAAAAUACGGGGACGAUUUAAGAAUAGGGGUGAAAGUCCAAUCAAACUUGGUGAUAGCUGGUUUUCCGCGAAAACUAUCAAAGUAGUACGUUGCUUUUCAAAAAUGUGGGUAGAGCUACUUAUUAAACUUAGAUUUUGCUAAGUUUUAUUAAACUCCAAAUUAUAUUUUUAUUUAGCAGCAGACAGUCAUUAGGCGAUAAGGUUCAAUGUCAAAAGGGAAACAACCCUAAUCGAUGGUUAAGAUCUUAAAAUUAUGAAUUAGUGAAAAAAUGAAAAGUAAUUCGAAUAAACAGAGUAGGCUUAGAAGCAGCCAUCUAUUGGAGAAAGCGUUUUAGCUCAUUAUUUUUACUUAUUUUACUCAUUUAAAAUGUAAGGAGACUUAAAUUCAUAUAUCGAAGCUUCGAAUUAAGUUUAAUUUUUCUUAAUGGUAGCGGAACGUCCUGUAGUCUUUUCUGUUAAUGUUAAAUUGCAUAUUAAAAAUCAGGAGUGCUAAUGCUGACAUGAGUAGCGUCAACCAUGUUGAAAAUAAAUCAUGGUCGUCUAUUGCUCAAGGGUUUCCAGUAAAUUUUAAGUAACUGGGUUUAGUCGGCCCUUAAAAAAAAAGUGAAAACUGUACUUGAUAGGAAAAUUAUUCCGCAUGUUUGCAAAAUAUUUUUGUGUAAAAAAGUACUUUUAAAAGUUUUGCUUAAUAAACUAGCAACUUAAAAAAAGUAUUUUUCAGGAAAAUUUGCAUGAAGUUUGACCGUACUUAGAACCGACACAGGUGAGCUUAUUGAGAAGAUAAAGACGAAUGAGAUAAUUAUACUUAAGGAACUCGGCAAAUUUGCUCCGUACGUUCGCAACAAGGAGUACCUUAAAGGAUUCAAAAAUUAGGGGUAGCGACUGUUUAACAAAAACUCAAAACUUUGCAAAUUCGAAAGAAGACGUAUAAGGUUUGACGCCUGCCCAGUGCUUGAAAGCGAAAAAUACACGUUAACGCUUGUAUCAUAAACUCAAGUAAACGGCGGUCUUAACUAUAAGGAUCCUCAGGUAGCGAAAUUCCUUGGCGGGUAAAUUCCGUCCUGCAUGAAUGGCGUCACGACUACCCCACUGUCUCUAGUAUAAACUCAGCGAAAUUACAUUGUCUGUGAAAAUGCAGACAUCCUACAACAAGACGGAAAGACCCUAUGAUUCUUAACUAUAAUUUUACGUCGCAAUAAUUUUGUGUACAGUACAGUAAAAGUAGGAGUAUACUUAUACAAUUUUGAAAAACUACUCUGUACAUAAGAAAUUGCUUACUGAAGAGAAAAUAUGUAAAAGUGGUAGUUUACUUGGGACGAGGACCUCCUAAACUGUAACGGAGGUGCACAAAAGUAAAUUUUAAUUAGUUUUUUGUAUUAAUAAAAUAUGUAAUGGUAAAAAUUUGCUUGACGGUAAGAGUUACAACUCAAACCGGGACGAAAGUCGGUCAUAAUGAUCCGGCAGUAAUGUAUGGAAAUACUGUCGCUUAUCGGAAAAAAGAAACUCUAGGGAUAACAGAUUUAUCAUGGCUGAGAGUUCUUAUCGACGCCAUGGUUUGAUACCUCGAUGUCGGCUCAUCUUUUCCUGGAGCUGUAACAGGUUCCAAGGGUAUGGUUGUUCGCCAAAUAAUAAGAUACGUGAGCUGGGUUCAGAACGUCGUGAGACAGUUCGGUCCCUAUCUGUUGUGGGUAAGAAAAAACUAGAUUUAUCUUUAGUACGAGAGGAUUAAGAUAUAUUAACCAAUAGUGUAUCGGUUGUAUUGUUUCUUGCAUUGCCGAGUAGCCACGUUAACAUUAUAUAAGUGCUGACAGCUUAAAAGCACAAAAAUAAUCUUUAUUUUUUCAAGAACUUUCUAGAAGAUUACUAGAUAGAUCGGUUUAUUAUUUAAUACUUGUAAAAGUAAGUAAAUAAAUACGAAAAGUUCAUUAUAAUUUGUGUU
This 2775-nucleotide ribosomal RNA is filed under the name Pyropia haitanensis. Its description in RNAcentral is "bacterial LSU rRNA". It matches the Rfam family "Bacterial large subunit ribosomal RNA". Lineage: Eukaryota; Rhodophyta; Bangiophyceae; Bangiales; Bangiaceae. The record is from RNAcentral.